This 270-nucleotide ribosomal RNA is filed under the name uncultured bacterium. RNAcentral describes it as "partial 16S ribosomal RNA". It matches the Rfam family "Bacterial small subunit ribosomal RNA", at positions 30 to 301 of the family's 1533-position model. The record is from RNAcentral.
AUUGAACGCUGGCGGCAUGCCUUACACAUGCAAGUCGAACGGCAGCACGGGGGCAACCCUGGUGGCGAGUGGCGAACGGGUGAGUACAACAUCGGAACGUGCCCGGUAGUGGGGGAUAACCAGUCGAAAGAUUGGCUAAUACCGCAUACGACCUACGGGUGAAAGCGGGGACCGCAAGGCCUCGCGCUAUCGGAGCGGCCGAUUUCCGAUUAGCUAGUUGGUGAGGUAAAAGCUCACCAAGGCGACGAUCGGUAGCUGGUCUGAGAGGAC